This 1249-nucleotide ribosomal RNA is filed under the name Mahanarva dubia. Its description in RNAcentral is "SSU rRNA". It matches the Rfam family "Eukaryotic small subunit ribosomal RNA", at positions 719 to 1804 of the family's 1831-position model. Lineage: Eukaryota; Metazoa; Arthropoda; Insecta; Hemiptera; Cercopidae. The record is from RNAcentral.
GGACCUGUGUUCCACGCUGUCGGUUCGCCGCCCGUCGGUGUCAACUGGCAUGUCCUGUGGAACGUCCUGCCGGUGGCGGUCCGGGCUUUCGGCUUGCGUAAGGGCUCACGCCCGAAGCAGGUCGGACAGUUCCGGCCGCCGGUCCAAUCCCGCCACGGUGCUCUUCACCGAGUGUCGAGGUGGGCCGGCACGUUUACUUUGAACAAAUUAGAGUGCUUAAAGCAGGCUGGUGUCCGCCUGAAUACUGUGUGCAUGGAAUAAUAGAAUAGGACCUCGGUUCUAUUUUGUUGGUUUUCGGAACCCGAGGUAAUGAUUAAUAGGGACAGGCGGGGGCAUUCGUAUUGCGACGUUAGAGGUGAAAUUCUUGGAUCGUCGCAAGACGAACCUAAGCGAAAGCAUUUGCCAAGUAUGUUCUCGUUAAUCAAGAACGAAAGUUAGAGGUUCGAAGGCGAUCAGAUACCGCCCUAGUUCUAACCAUAAACGAUGCCAGCCAGCGAUCCGCCGAAGUUCCUCCGAUGACUCGGCGGGCAGCUUCCGGGAAACCAAAGCUUUUGGGUUCCGGGGGAAGUAUGGUUGCAAAGCUGAAACUUAAAGGAAUUGACGGAAGGGCACCACCAGGAGUGGAGCCUGCGGCUUAAUUUGACUCAACACGGGAAACCUCACCAGGCCCGGACACCGGAAGGAUUGACAGAUUGAGAGCUCUUUCUUGAUUCGGUGGGUGGUGGUGCAUGGCCGUUCUUAGUUGGUGGAGCGAUUUGUCUGGUUAAUUCCGAUAACGAACGAGACUCUAGCCUGCUAACUAGGCGAUUCCGGUACCCACAAUAGUGUUACCGGCGAUUCAAUUUCUUCUUAGAGGGACAGGCGGCUCCUAGCCGCACGAGACUGAGCAAUAACAGGUCUGUGAUGCCCUUAGAUGUCCUGGGCCGCACGCGCGCUACACUGAAGGAAUCAGCGUGUCUUCCCUGGCCGACAGGCCCGGGUAACCCGUUGAACCUCCUUCGUGCUAGGGAUUGGGGCUUGCAAUUGUUCCCCAUGAACGAGGAAUUCCCAGUAAGCGCGAGUCAUAAGCUCGCGUUGAUUACGUCCCUGCCCUUUGUACACACCGCCCGUCGCUACUACCGAUUGAAUGAUUUAGUGAGGUCUUCGGACUGGUGCGCGGCGAUCGGUUUAUACUGCCGGCCGCCGAUGUUGCCGGAAAGAUGACCAAACUUGAUCAUUUAGAGGAAGUAAAAGUCGUAACAAGGUUUCC